UGGACAUAUUCUAAAGCUCUGAUGAAAUUCAAACCAAGAUUCAAUGAGAAAUUUCUUCACUUUGAGGAGAAUACUUGGGAGGCUCCUGAGAUACAGACUCCCAUCAGAGAUCAGCCACUGCUAGACCCUAAGGGAUGUGUUGAUCUAAUUUCUCCAGAGCAGACAACACCCAACAGAGCCCCUGGGGCCUGAUUAAAAAUCUAAGCUCCAACUUCUGGAACUCCUCACAUAGAACUCUGCAGAAGCUUUAUCCUCAGAAUUUAUUGAUUUGCUCUGUAUGAAUAAAACUCCAACUAACAGUACUUCCUAAUAUAUCCCACAUUAUACUGGCAAGAAGAGAAGCUGAGACUUAUUUCAAACAACUUCAUUUAUAGGCCGCUCCAACCGGCAACUCAGAGAGCAACACCAAAACAGGAAGGGGUUAACAACCCCCAGCAUUUGCUCUCUAGUAAAUAGUGGGAGAAGAAACAGAAAGAAAGACCGUUGGGUGUGGUCAGUGACCAUCCAUUCCGGUAAACCACUUAGACCACUUCAGUGGGGGUCUGUUUUUUGGAGGCUUUGAAAAGCAAUUCGACACUACUUGGAAAACCAAAUCAACAACAACAACAAAAAAAAAUAACCAAUAUACAUGGCCUUCACGGCUCUUGUACCACUCAAGUUUUCUCCACUCUAACAACAUCACUGGACUGGUUCCUACAGUAAUCCUGUGAAGAUAUAAGAUGCUACAGAAAAGAUUGUAUUUGGGGUUAUAGGAUAAAAAUAUAAUGUUUUCUCUAAGACAUUUUAGUA
Molecule: non-coding RNA, 789 nt
Organism: Ictidomys tridecemlineatus (thirteen-lined ground squirrel)
Lineage: Eukaryota; Metazoa; Chordata; Mammalia; Rodentia; Sciuridae
Source: RefSeq, a predicted model, not a curated record